Molecule: unclassified non-coding RNA, 289 nt
Filed under: Hevea brasiliensis (rubber tree)
Lineage: Eukaryota; Viridiplantae; Streptophyta; Magnoliopsida; Malpighiales; Euphorbiaceae
Source: RNAcentral
AAUGAACUUGCUGCGAGAAAAUAGGUAAACUUGCUCUCUUGAACUUGUGUAAUUAGCUAAUUAUUGAGCAAUUAUGAGGAUUGGCAUACCUCUUUGGUAAUUGAUUUGUACUUGGCUAGCUUUAGGCUUAUCUAUUAUUAGUCUCUUAUAUAACAAAUUUUUCAUUUGUUUAAUGGAAAAUAUUUUCUUGGAAAAUUUUUUCUGCAUUAUUUCUAUUGUUUGGGACACUUAGGAAAAUUGGUCAACGGAAAUUGCUUUCUUGGUCAAAAGGAAAACCAUGUUAUUUCAA